RNAcentral lists this ribosomal RNA (253 nucleotides) under uncultured bacterium. RNAcentral's name for it is "partial 16S ribosomal RNA". It matches the Rfam family "Bacterial small subunit ribosomal RNA", at positions 524 to 776 of the family's 1533-position model. The record is from RNAcentral.
UACGUAGGGGGCAAGCGUUGUCCGGAAUCAUUGGGCGUAAAGCGCGUGUAGGCGGUCCGGUAAGUCCGCUGUGAAAGUCGGGGGCUCAACCCUCGGAUGCCGGUGGAUACUGUCGGGCUUGAGUACGGAAGAGGCGAGUGGAAUUCCUGGUGUAGCGGUGAAAUGCGCAGAGAUCAGGAGGAACACCCAUGGCGAAGGCAGCUCUCUGGUCGACCUCUGACGCUGAGACGCGAAAGCGUGGGGAGCGAACGGG